GCACAAGCGGUGGAGCAUGUGGUUUAAUUCGACGCGACGCGAAGAACCUUACCUGGGCUUGACAUGUAAGUGACCGGCGUGGAAACACGUCUUCCCUUCGGGGCACUUUCACAGGUGGUGCAUGGCUGUCGUCAGCUCGUGUCGUGAGAUGUUGGGUUAAGUCCCGCAACGAGCGCAACCCCCGUCGCAUGUUGCCAGCAUUUAGUUGGGGACUCAUGCGAGACUGCCGGUGACAAACCGGAGGAAGGUGGGGAUGACGUCAAGUCCUCAUGCCCCUUAUGUUCAGGGCUACACACGUGCUACAUUGGCGCAUACAGAGGGCUGCGAUACCGCGAGGUGGAGCGAAUCCCUUAAAGUGCGUCUCGGUUCGGAUUGCAGGCUGAAAUUCGCCUGCAUGAAGGCGGAGUUGCUAGUAAUCGCGGAUCAGCAUUGCCGCGGUGAAUACGUUCCCGGGC
Molecule: ribosomal RNA, 455 nt
Filed under: uncultured bacterium
Lineage: Bacteria
Description: bacterial SSU rRNA
Rfam family: Bacterial small subunit ribosomal RNA
Source: RNAcentral